This 400-nucleotide ribosomal RNA is filed under the name uncultured bacterium. RNAcentral describes it as "bacterial SSU rRNA". It matches the Rfam family "Bacterial small subunit ribosomal RNA", at positions 355 to 748 of the family's 1533-position model. The record is from RNAcentral.
UGGGGAAUAUUGGACAAUGGGCGCAAGCCUGAUCCAGCAAUACCGCGUGUGUGAAGAAGGCCCUAGGGUUGUAAAGCACUUUCAAUAGGGAGGAAUACCUGCUGGUUAAUACCCAGCAGACUGACAUUACCUAUACAAGAAGCACCGGCUAACUCCGUGCCAGCAGCCGCGGUAAUACGGAGGGUGCAAGCGUUAAUCGGAAUUACUGGGCGUAAAGCGUGCGUAGGCGGCUUGCUAAGCCAGAUGUGAAAGCCCUGGGCUCAACCUGGGAACUGCAUUUGGAACUGGCAAGCUAGAGUUGAGUAGAGGUAAGUGGAAUUUCAGGUGUAGCGGUGAAAUGCGUAGAUAUCUGAAGGAACACCAGUGGCGAAGGCGACUUACUGGACUCAAACUGACGCUG